UACGGAGGGUGCAAGCGUUGUCCGGAAUCACUGGGCGUAAAGGGCGCGUAGGCGGCUCAUGAAGGCUGUGGUGAAAGUCCGGGGCUCAACCUCGGAUCGGCCGUGGCGACUCGUGGGCUGGAGCACUGUAGAGGCGGGUGGAAUUCCGGGUGUAGCGGUGGAAUGCGUAGAGAUCCGGAAGAACACCAGUGGCGAAGGCGGCCUGCUGGGCAGUUUCUGACACUGAUGCGCGACAGCGUGGGGAGCAAACAGG
This 253-nucleotide ribosomal RNA is filed under the name uncultured bacterium. RNAcentral describes it as "partial 16S ribosomal RNA". It matches the Rfam family "Bacterial small subunit ribosomal RNA", at positions 524 to 776 of the family's 1533-position model. The record is from RNAcentral.